UGGCGGCGUGCUUAACACAUGCAAGUCGAACGGAAAGGCCCUGCUUUUGUGGGGUGCUCGAGUGGCGAACGGGUGAGUAACACGUGAGUAACCUGCCCUUGACUUUGGGAUAACUUCAGGAAACUGGGGCUAAUACCGGAUAGGAGCUCCUGCUGCAUGGUGGGGGUUGGAAAGUUUCGGCGGUUGGGGAUGGACUCGCGGCUUAUCAGCUUGUUGGUGGGGUAGUGGCUUACCAAGGCUUUGACGGGUAGCCGGCCUGAGAGGGUGACCGGCCACAUUGGGACUGAGAUACGGCCCAGACUCCUACGGGAGGCAGCAGUGGGGAAUAUUGCACAAUGGGCGGAAGCCUGAUGCAGCAACGCCGCGUGCGGGAUGACGGCCUUCGGGUUGUAAACCGCUUUCGCCUGUGACGAAGCGUGAGUGACGGUAAUGGGUAAAGAAGCACCGGCUAACUACGUGCCAGCAGCCGCGGUGAUACGUAGGGUGCGAGCGUUGUCCGGAUUUAUUGGGCGUAAAGGGCUCGUAGGUGGUUGAUCGCGUCGGAAGUGUAAUCUUGGGGCUUAACCCUGAGCGUGCUUUCGAUACGGGUUGACUUGAGGAAGGUAGGGGAGAAUGGAAUUCCUGGUGGAGCGGUGGAAUGCGCAGAUAUCAGGAGGAACACCAGUGGCGAAGGCGGUUCUCUGGGCCUUUCCUGACGCUGAGGAGCGAAAGCGUGGGGAGCGAACAGGCUUAGAUACCCUGGUAGUCCACGCUGUAAACGGUGGGUACUAGGUGUGGGGUCCAUUCCACGGGUUCCGUGCCGUAGCUAACGCUUUAAGUACCCCGCCUGGGGAGUACGGCCGCAAGGCUAAAACUCAAAGGAAUUGACGGGGCCCCGCACAAGCGGCGGAGCAUGCGGAUUAAUUCGAUGCAACGCGUAGAACCUUACCUGGGUUUGACAUGGAUCGGGAGUGCUCAGAGAUGGGUGUGCCUCUUUUUGGGGUCGGUUCACAGGUGGUGCAUGGCUGUCGUCAGCUCGUGUCGUGAGAUGUUGGGUUAAGUCCCGCAACGAGCGCAACCCUUGUUCACUGUUGCCAGCACGUUAUGGUGGGGACUCAGUGGAGACCGCCGGGGUCAACUCGGAGGAAGGUGGGGAUGACGUCAAGUCAUCAUGCCCCUUAUGUCCAGGGCUUCACGCAUGCUACAAUGGCUGGUACAGAGAGUGGCGAGCCUGUGAGGGUGAGCGAAUCUCGGAAAGCCGGUCUCAGUUCGGAUUGGGGUCUGCAACUCGACCUCAUGAAGUCGGAGUCGCUAGUAAUCGCAGAUCAGCAGCGCUGCGGUGAAUACGUUCCCGGGGCUUGUACACACCGCCCGUCAAGUCAUGAAAGUUGGUAACACCCGAAGCCGGUGGCCUAACCGUUGUGGGGGAGCCGUCGAAGGUGGGACUGGUGAUUAGGACUAAGUCAUAAC
This 1449-nucleotide ribosomal RNA is filed under the name uncultured organism. RNAcentral describes it as "16S ribosomal RNA". It matches the Rfam family "Bacterial small subunit ribosomal RNA". The record is from RNAcentral.